This 300-nucleotide ribosomal RNA is filed under the name uncultured Pyrobaculum sp. RNAcentral's name for it is "bacterial SSU rRNA". It matches the Rfam family "Bacterial small subunit ribosomal RNA", at positions 496 to 795 of the family's 1533-position model. Lineage: Archaea; Thermoproteati; Thermoproteota; Thermoprotei; Thermoproteales; Thermoproteaceae. The record is from RNAcentral.
GCUAGCUACGGGCGAGGAGGCGCGGGAAUACGUAGGCAGCAAGCGUUGUUCGGAAUUACUGGUCGGAAAGGGUGUGGAGGCGGUUCUCUAAGUUCGGUGGGAAAUCUCCCGGCUUAACUGGGAGGGUGCGCCGGAAACUGGAGGGCUUGAGUAUGGGAGAGGAAGGCGGAAUUCCUGGUGUAGCGGUGAAAUGCGUAGAUAUCAGGAGGAACACCUGCGGUGUAGACAGCUUUCUGGACCAUCACUGACGCUGAGACACGAAAGCGUGGGUAGCAAACAGGAUUAGAUACCCCAGUAGUC